Molecule: long non-coding RNA, 756 nt
Organism: Brassica oleracea var. oleracea
Lineage: Eukaryota; Viridiplantae; Streptophyta; Magnoliopsida; Brassicales; Brassicaceae
Exons: 2
Source: RefSeq, a predicted model, not a curated record
AGUCGAGGAAAGAUCAACCUUACUUUGUCAUCCACCGUACUGCUUGUAAGUUAUAUGUUGUAACUAACUAUCCUAUUGAAAAAGUAUAGUUAGAAUUCGAGACCUCUCUCUACCUUAUCCUCUCCCACAUCUAUCUAACCUAAGGCGACCUUUCAAAGCAAGUUGAGCUCCGACAGCCUCAUCUUCUGUUUUCGUCUCCUUCUCUUUUCGACCUGCUCCAGGCCCCCAUAUACAAUAGCCUGGCUUCGCCCCUGGUUGCUACUCAGUUGCAGUUGUAACAGUUUCUGCAUUCACUGGCUAGUGUGAACGUUAAGAGUCAUUGUGAGCCGGUUGUGUGGACUGUGGGCUGUUUGUAAGUCACUGAUCGAAACCGUUUGUCUGUUGAUGUUCUUCCUCAGCAGUGACUAUAUUGUUCAGCUACUAUGCGUAUUUUAACAGGUGACAUAAAGCAGUUUAAAUACUCUAAUAUUAUCCCCCCAAAGGUCAAGCAUCAGAACCAUUUUAAUUGGCCGGGAACCAGCUGCAUCUUACAUUAGUAAACGUAAAGCUAUACUAAAUAGAUGGUGGUACCAACAGCUUAUGACUCUUGAGCAUCUCAGAGGUGGAAGAGAUGGAAGGUGAGUUAGGACGAAAAUUGCGAUGAUGAAGUCAAGGUUCUUAUUACUUCUUUAAGGGGCAUAGAUGUAGGUUGAUUUUUAAUGUUGUUCGUUAUAAAUCACAUGUUGCAUUGCUGCUAUUAAAUUUCGUUCUUUCCUA